Molecule: RNA transcript, 1935 nt
Organism: Hibiscus syriacus
Lineage: Eukaryota; Viridiplantae; Streptophyta; Magnoliopsida; Malvales; Malvaceae
Gene name: F-box protein SKIP2-like
Exons: 4
Source: RefSeq, a predicted model, not a curated record
UUGAACCUUGCAGAUAACCGAACACAAUCCCACAAAAAAAAAAACAGAGAGGCUAUUCUCAGUUACUUUCCUCCGGUCGCGCGUACUUUCCACCCGUCGCAAAUGGGCCAAUCCCCUUCCGCCGCUUUUCACCGCGAAGCCUCCCUCACCCUCUUAUCUUCUUCUGUUUUCCUUUCGGGCGAGGAAUUUCUCGGUGAAAUCGUGGCGAACCGGGAUUACACCGCUGAGAUUCCUGACGAGUGUUUGGCUUAUAUUUUCCAGUUCAUCGGCCCUGGCGAUCGGAACCGGUGUUCCCUUGUCUGCAAGCGGUGGUUUCGCGUCGACGGUUGGAGCCGCCACCGUUUGUCUCUCAACGCCCAAUCCGAGAUUGUUUCUUCUUUACCUUCUAUAUUAACGCGCUUCAACUCCGUGACCAGACUCGCCCUACGGUGUAGCCGUAAAUCAAUCAGCAUAACAGACGAUAAUUUGCUUACGGUCUCAACCUAUUGCAAAAAUCUCACACGGCUGAAGCUCCGUGGUUGCCGCGAAAUCACUGACGAAGGAAUGUCCGCAUUUGCUCAGAAUUCUAAGAAUUUAAGAAAACUUUCUUGUGGUUCUUGCAUGUUCGGCGCUAAAGCUUUAAACGCCGUGCUCGAUCAUUGCAAUAAUUUAGAAGAGUUAUCGGUGAAAAGGCUCAGAGGAAUCCAUGACGGAGCUGAGCCGAUCAGGCCAGGAGCCGCGGCUUCUUCACUGAAGACGAUUGGCUUGAAAGAACUUGUUAAUGGUCAGUCUUUUGCACCACUUGUGGUUGGAUCAAAAAACCUUAAAGCUUUGAGAAUUAUUCAUUGUUUGGGUGAUUGGGAUAGUGUCCUUCAGUUAAUUGGGAAUCGAAAUAGAAACAGUAAUCCUUUGAUGGAAAUUCACCUUGAGAGGCUUCAAGUGAGUGAUAUAGGCCUAUUUGCGAUUGCAAACUGUGCCAAAAUUGAGAAUUUGCAUAUUGUGAAAACCCCAGAGUGUUCGAAUUAUGGGCUUGUUUGUGUGGCUGAGAAUUGUAAGUUGCUGAGGAAGCUUCAUAUUGAUGGAUGGAGGACUAAUAGGAUUGGAGAUGAGGGUUUGAUUGCUGUUGCUAAACAUUGUCCCAAUUUACAAGAACUUGUUUUGAUUGGUGUUAAUGCUACCCAUUUGAGCUUGUCAGCCAUCGCAUGUAAUUGUUCAAAACUUGAAAGAUUAGCUCUUUGUGGAAGUAGCACUAUUGGUGAUACGGAGAUUGCAUGCAUUGCUGCAAAAUGUAUGGCAUUGAAGAAACUUUGCAUCAAGGGAUGCCCGAUCUCAGAUAUCGCCAUUGAAGCACUUGGUUCCGGUUGUCCCAAUUUGAUCAAAAUUAAGGUGAGGAAAUGUAGAGGAGUGAGUAGUGACGCUGGUGAAUGGUUGCGAGAACAAAGGGGAUUGAUUCUGGUUAAUGUGGAUGCUUUUGACAUAGAUUGUGGUUUUGAGGCUAGUGUAAGUGAUGGUGGAGCUCAUGAAAUUGGUGUGGAGUUACCGCAGGCUGUUGGCCAAGUAACUGGCACAGAUGCUUCCACGAGCAGCAAUGGUGAGUCAGAGCUGCAUUAAACCAAACUUCAGAGAAAGUUGGUGGAUUACUUAACUUGGCUGCUGGUACUGAUAUAGUUCACUCUUUCGCAAUCUUCUUCAUCUCCGAAACUGAAGACCCAGGCAUCAGCACUCAGCAGCAACAGUUAUGAUAUCUCUUGUUCACAUCGAGCUUCUUCUGGUGAUCUCAAAUCCGAAGGAAGGGUUAGAUUGAUAACUGCAAAUCAUAAUCGGUUUCCAGCUUCAGUCUGCUGACUACUUUUCCGACCCCUUGAAUCAACUUCGGUGCAUUCAGAGAAGACAGCAUCUUUGUAUUCGUUUCCAGAAGCUCUAGGUUUGGUUUGAAUUGGCGUUGACUUCAUAGUU